GCAGGCUCACACCCUGCCCUUCAGAGUUGCAGCAGCUAAUGCUGAUGCCAGGACCUUGUCCUGCCAGGAAGCCUCUGAUUAGGGCUGUGAACCAACUUCCUUUUCACAUCUGCAAGGACACUUGGAGGCAACUGCCCAAGGCCACUCUGAGGAGGGUUGAAUGUUCUUUAUUAAAAGGACUGAGGAUCAUGUGUGUUGGUGGGCCUUGGACUCUGCUCUAAGCUCAAAUUUUGCAGUUUCUGCUGUCAUCACAGCUGGGAAUGAGAAAGGGAAGGGGCUCCAGUUGGUCUCCCUCUGCCUCUGGAGCACACGUGGAGGACAUGAGGCUUCCGCAGGAACAGCUCUGAAAGCUGAGUUCUCGGGUCCCUGUGAAGGAGGGAAGCUUGCCUGCCUUGGAGCGUGAAAAAGUCUUGCUGGACAGAAGUCUCACGGUUUAAAACUGGGAAGGGAGAGGAUUGAGAUCACACUAGAAUGCACAGAAAAUUCUUAAAACAAAAAAAUGAGAGAAACUUCAUCAGAAUGUGAAAAGAACUAUAAAGCUACAGUGCUGAAGAGAGGGCAAUACUGGCACUAGAAUGAGAAGAUUCAUGGAACACAGUGGAAAAUGCAGUAAGAGAGCUGCAUACACAUGGAGGCAACCACUCAAGGCCACUCUGAGAAGGGUUGAACGUGCUUUAAAUUAAAAGGACUGAGGAUCAUGUGUGUUGGUGUGUCUUGGACUCUGCUCUAAGACUCAUGGAGGCAACCACUCAAGGUCACUCUGAGAAGGGUUGAACGUGCUUUAUUAAAAGGACUGAGGAUCAUGUGUGUUGGUGUGUCCCGGAGUCUGCUCUAAGGCCCUGUGGCUGCCUGGUGCCCUGGGAAUGGUCCGGUCAUGGGCCUCAGCCCAGGAUGAGCAGCCAACAAUGCAAUCCCACGAAGAGUGUGCGGAAGGGAGAGGUUACUUCUCAAGAUGGAGCUGCCAAAUAGGGACACUUUGGAGAGUCUGGCCUGAGAACUUUUAGUUUCAAGAAUGUAUUGCUUUGGAAAAGACAGAAUAAAAGUCCAAGCACUGCCACUUAGAGGUUGUAUGUCCUUGGGAAAGUCACUGUACUUGGCAAUUAUAACCUUUACCCUGGAUACACCAUUCAUCUCCUGGGGCCAGGGGUUGUGCCACCUUGUUCAUUUCUAAACUAAAUGAUAUCUAAGCUAGUCUUUACCACAGUUUAAUUCUUACAAUAAUACUCCAAAGGAGAUAUAAUCAACCACAUUUCACAGAUGAGAGAGUUGGAAUCUUAAAAAGGUUAAACUCUUCGAGGUCAUUUGACGAAUAAAUAAUGGAGCCUGGAUUUCAACUGAAGUCUAACAAAUUCCAAAAUCCUGGCUACCGGCCAUUUAUAUUCGUGUGUGUGUGUAUAUAUAUAUAUAUAAAUUAUAUAACAUAUAUACAUAUAUCAUAUGUAUAUAUAUUAUAUAUAUUUCUUUUUAAGUUAUAAAGUAUAAGAGACCAUGAAGAAAAUUUCAGAAAGAUUUUAGAAACUCAAGGGUCACUCUCAGCUGCCAGUAAGAAAACAACCUAAGAUACUGUUGAAUAGUAUUCAUUCAGUUAAUUAUGGUGGACCUCAAAAAGUCAUAGGAAUUUCCUCUAGCACUGUUAAGUAAAUAGUUAAUGGCCUUUUAUUAAAAGACUAAUUUUUAAAGUCAUAGCAGAAAUUCUUGAUCCAUUAAAUGAUAGCAAAUACCCUUUGAGUGUCAAACAUUGUAUAUAUUUAUUCUUUUCUUGCAAGCAGAAAAUAGGUGUUACUUAUCCCCAUUUUUCAGAUGAAAUUGAAGCUUACAGAGAGGUUAAAUAACUCCUCGAGGUCACCUAGCUAAUAAACAGCACACCAAGAAUUUGAACCAAACAGACAAGUCUCCAGAGCCUGUACCAUAAGGGAACUGCUUGGCUGUUUAUGAUUCAGGGAUUAAUUUCUGUCUUCAUGAAGCUGCUGCAUUUUGAUACAAAAUGUUAUAUUUCCGAUUUGAUUUCAACUCCCAGCUUCAUGCUUUAAAAGAAGUAGUGUUUUGACUGCAUUUAGUUAUUUGUACAAACCUGUAGCACCCCCUCCUGGCCAUUCGAGGUAUACCAUACAUGUUAUAUUACCCCAAUAUUAGACCCCAACGAAUGGCAAAGACUUCGUAUAACGAAUGGAAAGGUCCCCAAAUGCAAGGCAGGUUCCAACUGCACACCUUAUGUGCUUGAUAGUUUUAGGCAAGAGACUCCUUCUUGCAGGGCUGUCAUUUCCCCCGCCUCAAAAUCAGAGGAGUGGGUGAUGUUUUUGGUCUCUUCUAGUUCUAAUUGUGAUUCUGAAUUGAAUUGAUAAACUGGAUAUUGAAGGAAUAGGUGUGGUGAAAUGAAAAAUGGAAGCUUCUAGUUUUUAUUUUGAUCCAACAAUAAUGCAUGUUAUUUGCUUCCUCUUGACUCAACAUUGCUCUAGGAAAAGCCUAUUCUAUAUAGACUCCUUAACAAAAACAUUGAUUCCUAAAGGUCUUCUGAAUGUUUGGAUAGCCAAUGGCUUUGCAGCCCAGCCUGGCCACUACAUGAGGCCGAUGACUUUAACAAACUUAUUUCAGGCCAGUGUAAAUGCAGUGUUCAAAAAUCCCACCUAAGAAGGAUGGGAACACGGAGGUUUGUGUAGGUAACAUGCAGGUGUGUGCACAUGUACCCAAGAAUGCACACACACAUACAUGGACACAACUGCAAUUGAUACAAAAGGCUGAACUGUGCUGAUUCUUACAGGUACUUGGUUCUGGCCCAGUCUGGAAAAAAAGAAAAGAUCCUUAGUCUAAACAUGCAUACAAAAUAGAAUUCCCACCAUGCUUUGAUGUUAUCUAUUUAUAAUUUUCAAUGUUUCAAUGUUUUGUGGUCUUAAAAAUUACAAGGAUUAUUAUCAAUAAUCCUUGUACCUAAUGUGCCUUGACUCUGAAGGACAUGGUAACUGCCUGUGGUUUAGAAAAUGUUUUGGCUAAAAGACAAGUUCUCCUCCCUCCUCUCAUUUUUAUAUCACAGAGCUGCACGGGGGCUUGGAUCAAUGCCUGAAUCCAGUGUUCCUGAGUGCAGAGCAUCUUUGCUCUGGGUGAGCUUUGACCAUCCUGGAGAAGAAGGCUGCUGCGGGGGUGGGACAAAGCCAAGACCAAUGCCCAGCGGCCAAGGCCAGCCAGAUGGCUCUGUGCUGGCAGCCAGUGUACACGGAUUUUACCUGAAGGAAAAUGUCACAUUUUCCACAGACAACUGAAGAAAGAGAGCUCUUUGGAUUACCCUAAUUGUGAUUUACUCAUUGGAACCACUGUUUUGGAUUGUCCAAAAUUAAGUCUCAAAGCUUAAAUAUGAGGCUUCAGGGAGUUAUCCUGAAAUCAGUGCUUGGUAUCUUCUUGUUUUUUGCUUGUUUUUUAAAACCUUAAUUCUCAUAUUUUUCUGUCAUAUUUCUCAGUGCCUGGUACAUUAUCACCAUUAAUCCAUGCCAGUUAUGUACAGUUUUGCAUGUUUGUUUUUUAUUUUACUCUUUUCUCUCCUUCAUUCCCUAUUCCUGUUCCCCCAUAGGUGCCCAGUCUAAUGUAUUUGAUAUCUGUCCUUAGAGCCUCCGUAUCUGUGAAGACUAGAGUCAUGCACUUCAUCACAUUUCAGUAACGAUGGGCCGCAUGUACCACAGUCCCAUGAGAUGAUAGAGGUGCAGAAAAAUUCCUGUCAUCUAGUGACAUCGUAGCCAUCAUAACAUCACAACACGACUCUCAUUUGUGGUGACCCUGGUGUACACAAACCUACUGUACUGCCAGUUGUAUAAAAGUCUAGCACAUCCAGCUACGCACAGUACAUACUUGAAAAUUAUAAUAAAUGACCAUGUUACUGGUUUAUGUAAUUACUAUAUUAUACUUUUUAAUCAUUAUUUUAGAGUGUACAACUUCUACUUGUAAAAAAAAAAAAAGUUAACUGUAAAACAGCCUCAGGCAGGCCCUUCAGUAGGAAUUCCAGAAGAAGGCACUGUUGUCCUAGGAGAUGACAGCUCCAUGUGUGUUACUGCCCUGAUGACCCUCCGUGGGUACAAGAUGUGGAGCUGGACUACAGUGAUAUUGAAGAUCUCGACCCUGUAGGCCUAGGCUAAUGUGUGGCUGUGUCUUGAUUUUUAGCAAAAAUGUUUUAAAAGUGAAAAUGUUAAAAAUAGAAAACAGUUUAUAGAAUAAGGAUAUAAAGAAAAUAUUUUGUACAGCUGUAUAAUUUUUUUUUGUUUUUCUUUUCCUUUUUCUUUUUUUUUUUUGAGACGGAGUCUUGCUCUGUCGCCCAGCUGGAGUGCAGUGGUGUGAUCUCGGCUCACUGCAACCUCUGCCUCCUGGGGUCAAGCGACUCUUCUGCCUCAGCCUCCUGAGUGGCUGGGACUACCGGCAAGUGCCACCAUGCCUGGCUAAUUUUUGUAUUUUUUGUGGAGAUUUUCACCAUCUUGGCCAGGCUGGUCUUGAACUCCUGACCUGGUGAUCCACCCGCCUUGGCCUCCCAAAGUGGUGGGGUUACAGGCGUGAACUACAGGGCCUGGCCUGUUUGUGUUUUAAGCUAAGUGUUGUUAGGAGUCAAAAAGUUAAAAAAUAAAAGUUGCUAAAGUAAAAAAGUUACAGUCAGCAAAAGCUAAUUUAUUAAUGAAGAAAGAAAUGUAUGUUUUGAUCAAUUUAGUGUAGCCUAAGUGUCCAGUGUUUAUAGUCUACAGGAGUGUACAGGAACGUCCUAGGUCUUCACAUCCUCUCACCACUCACUCAUUGACUCACUCACCCAGAGUAGCUUCCAGACCUGCAAGCUCCAUUCAUGGUAACUCCCCUAUACAGGUGUUACAGUACUUAAAAUUUUAUAUCCUAUUUUUACUGUAGGUUGUCUCUGUCUAGAUAUAUUUGGAUACACACAUACUUACCAAUGUGUUACAGUUGCCUGCAGCACUCAGUACAGUAACAUGCUGCACAGCUUUGUAACCUAGAAACAACAGGCUACACCUAUAGCCUCUGUGUAGUAGGCUGUGCCAUCUGGGUUUGUGUUCUACAACGUUGCAUUCUACAAUGUUCACACAAGGAUGAAAUCGCCUAAGGACACAUUUCUCAGAAUGCUUCCUCAUUGUCAAGCAAUGCAUGACUGUAUAUAGAAUUGUUCAUAAAUACUGUGUUUUUCAUCCAUGUAAAUGGCAUGCCAUUUCUACCUAUCCACGUCUGCACACCAGCUCAUGCCCCUCAUUCAUGCUCCUUUCUGCUGCUCACCGCUCCACAGCUGGCAGCCCCUGCAUUCCAUCCAUCCAUUCCCCCAAACAUGGGCAUGUUGCUAUCAGCAGGGAGCUGUGAUGGACCCCUCACAGGGUCCUCUUAUUCCUCGUGCAAGCCUUUCCCUGGGAAGUUCCUCCCAGCAUUGCUGGUCAGGGGGAACACACACUCACAUCUUCACUAAAUGCUACCAGUGCUAUGGUGUUAUCAGAAACUUUAUUUAUUUAUUUUUUGCCAAUAUGAUAGCUAUCAAGCUACCCCAUCUCUACUAAAAAUACAAAAUUAGGCCUUUAGUAGAAACCCUGUCUCUAGUAAAAAUACAAAAAUUAGCUGGGCAUGGUGGCACACACCUGUAAUACCAGCUACUUGGUGGCUGAGGCAGGAGAAUUGCUUGAACCCAGGAGGCAGAAGCUGCAGUGAGCCAAGAUCGCACCACUGCACUCUAGCCUGGGCAACAGAGAACCUGUCUUAAAAACAAAAACAAAAAAAAUGGCACAGGUCUGAUUAUUAGGAAGCUGAGGUUCUUUUUUAUACUUAGUAUUCACUGAAGUGUGAAUUACCUUUCAUGUCCUCUAAACAUACCAACAAGGAGGCUGGAGUUAGGACUUAUGUUAGAGCCAGCCUGCCUGGGGCACAGCCUGGCCCUGCCAUUUAUUGACUGUGUGACUUUGAGAAAGCUUCCUCAUGUAACUCUAUCUUAGCUUCCCUGCCUGUAAUAAGUAAAAACAGCAACUACCUCAUAGAUUUGUAAAGAUUACAUAAAAUAAUACAUGCAAUGCAUGGCAAACGACAGUCAACGAAUGUUAUUAUUAUAUUAAC
Molecule: long non-coding RNA, 6066 nt
Filed under: Homo sapiens (human)
Lineage: Eukaryota; Metazoa; Chordata; Mammalia; Primates; Hominidae
Description: HSALNT0340366
Source: RNAcentral